This is a long non-coding RNA of Lampris incognitus (smalleye Pacific opah), 505 nucleotides long. RefSeq lists it as uncharacterized. NCBI's taxonomy places the organism in Eukaryota, Metazoa, Chordata, Actinopteri, Lampriformes, Lampridae. The transcript is spliced from 3 exons. The record is from RefSeq and is a predicted model, not a curated record.
ACUAGGGUGAUCGGCAGAAGUCUUGCUGGCAGUGAGCCGUGUUCGGAUGAGUCGCAGGUUCGAGUCCGGAUGCUAGUCCUCGCUGGAAGUACCUGUGAGCAGUAGGAGCGCAUCGUCGGGAACCGGAGGUGUGUUGCUGUGUGAUGCUGGCUCUGAUCCACAUUGCCCAUGGAGGAUUCUGAGCACAGGCAUCAGCUGUGCACCACCACACACACCAUUCUACCAUGGAGCCACCAGCCAGGGUUGUGGAGCCAGGGAGCCAGUGACAAGAAGAACGUUCUGACUUUCUGAUCUUUCUAUGCUCCCGUACUCCUCUUCUACCUGAGAACCUGAAGUGUCUCCAGCUCCACGGCUGAUCUCCUGUUAGCCCAGCACCAGGGCUGUGUGACCUGCCCACUUGUCUCCCAUUCCCUGCACAGCCAACACCUGGGCCAACGCUAACCAGACCAGUAUUCAUCUACCAGUGUCUAUCCUGAGCCAUGAUGGCAAGUCUACCUCUUUGUUU